UACGUAGGUGGCAAGCGUUGUCCGGAUUUACUGGGCGUAAAGCGCGCGCAGGCGGACUGAUCAGUCUGGGGUGAAAUCUCCCGGCUCAACUGGGAGCGGUCCCUGGAUACUGUCAGUCUUGAGAGACCUAGAGGAGAGCGGAAUUCCCGGUGUAGUGGUGGAAUGCGUAGAUAUCGGGAAGAACGCCAGUGGCGAAAGCGGCUCUCUGGGGGUUUUCUGACGCUGAGGCGCGAAAGCGUGGGGAGCGAACCGG
This 253-nucleotide ribosomal RNA is filed under the name uncultured bacterium. RNAcentral describes it as "partial 16S ribosomal RNA". It matches the Rfam family "Bacterial small subunit ribosomal RNA", at positions 524 to 776 of the family's 1533-position model. The record is from RNAcentral.